RNAcentral lists this long non-coding RNA (352 nucleotides) under Haliotis rubra (blacklip abalone). Its description in RNAcentral is "uncharacterized LOC124279031". The record is from RNAcentral. Lineage: Eukaryota; Metazoa; Mollusca; Gastropoda; Lepetellida; Haliotidae.
CUCUUGAAUGUUCUGAGAGAAAAAGGAUUGGUCUGUGCCCGAUAGAUAAAAACGUUGGACGACAGCCUGCUGGACACUUUCACUUGCAGACAACAUGAGAGCAGUUCUAUUCCUCGUCUUUGCUUCAGUGCUGCUUCUGGCGGCUGUUGAUGCCCAAAGUUGUGGGCGAUUCGACCGUUGUGUGCAGGACCGGAUCUGUGACAUCGAGUGCCCCGGAUGUAAGGGAACGACAGAUUGUCAUCACUCCGGGUCUUUAAUCGGACACUGCGUUUGUAAAAACUGAACUCCAACACAGUGGAAGCCAUUGACCAAGAAAGUUUGCUUUGGGAAUAAAAGAAACUUCCACAAGUAA